The sequence is a ribosomal RNA, 698 nucleotides long. The stretch from base 275 to 428 matches the Rfam family "5.8S ribosomal RNA".
GGAAGUAAAAGUCGUAACAAGGUUUCCGUAGGUGAACCUGCGGAAGGAUCAUUAUCGAAUAAACUAGGUGGGUUGUUGCUGUCCCUCUCGGGGGAAUUGUGCACACCUUACCUUUUUUGUUUUUCCACCUGUGCACACACCGUAGGUCUGAAGGAGGGGAAGGGGGGGGUUUGUAACCUCCCCUGAAACACUUUCAGGUCCUAUGUAUUUUACACAUACACUAUUAAAAGUAACAGAACGAUUCAAUGGGCUUCCAAGCCUAUAAACUAUAUACAACUUUCAGCAACGGAUCUCUUGGCUCUCGCAUCGAUGAAGAACGCAGCGAAAUGCGAUAAGUAAUGUGAAUUGCAGAAUUCAGUGAAUCAUCGAAUCUUUGAACGCACCUUGCGCUCGUUGGUAUUCCGACGAGCAUGCCUGUUUGAGUGUCAUUAAAUUCUCAACCUCAACACUUUUGUGAUUGAUGGCUUGGAUGUGGAGGUUUUUCUGCAGGCUGUUAAAGUCUGCUCCUCUCAAAUGAAUUAGUGGGUGCCCCGCGCAAACCUAUCUAUUGGUGUGAUAAUUAUCUACGCCGUGGAUUAUAGGAUUGCUGUAAAAAGGUGUUUGCCCUGCUUCUAACUGUCCUCUGGACAACUUGAACCAUUUGACCUCAAAUCAGGUAGGACUACCCGCUGAACUUAAGCAUAUCAAUAAGCGGAGGA